Molecule: long non-coding RNA, 629 nt
Filed under: Bos indicus x Bos taurus (hybrid cattle)
Lineage: Eukaryota; Metazoa; Chordata; Mammalia; Artiodactyla; Bovidae
Description: lncRNA (ENSBIXG00005017676.1)
Source: RNAcentral
ACCCCGGCCCAGGACAAGGUUGUUCCUGGACCUCUGGGAGGGAGAGUGAAACCAUUAGCUUGGGGUGAGGGCAGGGAAGAAUCCCUCUUCGGUGUCACUCAUUACCUUAUUGGGAGGAUGGGAGCCUCCUAGCAGCAGCGGGGGGGCGGCACUCUGGUUUGCCCCACCCCCACCCCAUUGUGAUCUAGGACCCCACAGCUGCCCCCUUCCUGUGGCUUUGUGUGUGUUAUGUGUGCGUCAAGGGGGCUGUCUCUCAGAGGGACUAAGGGGUGGCUUCUAGCUUCUUGAGGCUCUCCAGUGCUGGGGGCAGGGCACUCAUGGCUGAGGUGCUUCCUGCCUCUUGAGAAACAAGCUGCCUUUUGGCUGUGACCGUGGUGCCGAUGACCCCCAUUAGCUGUUUUCCUAGAAGUGAAAAUGCAUUUGCUCUGAGUUCUGUCAUCCCUUGUGACCCAGGACUCUCUGAAGCAACGCCAAGAGCACAGGGCUGGCCACCAAACGGAGCCCUGCUAACCUGCCCUCGAGGGCCCUUGGACUUGAUGCCAACCUUGAGCCUCAGUGCCCUCAGCCUGCAUUUGUGGAGUCUGAACUGGGUCCACAGCUGUUCUGCCUCAGUGUGGGGCCAAGGCUAA